This is a long non-coding RNA of Scleropages formosus (Asian bonytongue), 2148 nucleotides long. Lineage: Eukaryota; Metazoa; Chordata; Actinopteri; Osteoglossiformes; Osteoglossidae. The record is from Ensembl.
GGAAUCCACACUGUAAUUCCAUCUGCUUAAUAGUUGUAUCCUGCCCUUUCCAAAUAUAGUUUGUUUCCCACCAAACGCUGUGGUUCUGUUAGAAAACACGCUUUUUUUGUAUCGAUAAAAAGUACUUUUUUUCUCGGAUUCGAGCAUUAAAACCACAUGUUUAAAGUGUCUCUGAGACGGAGACUAAUUACUGAUGACAGUAGAGGUUGGGUCACUCAUUCCUCAUGCUGAACUGGGCACGGCUAUGACUUUGUUGGACCCAAACAACAGUACAGUUCACAGAUUGAAAUGGCAGUGAUGGCACAAGAUGUCCCUGGAGGCAGAUAAAAACAGUUUUGUGGUUUCCAAGGAGAGAAGUACAUCCUGUGGCUUUCAGGGUGCUGAAGAGAAAGAGGAGAUCCCAGGGAUGGGAGAGGACAGUGUUCUGGAAAUGCUGAGCUACUCCAAAUUUACAGACCUGGAGACAUGGCUGUGUAUGCCUUCUACACUGCUGCCGAGAAGUUUGGAAUCAUUAUGUGCCACCUCUCAGUCCCUGACACCUAGUGAAACUGCAGACGCUGAGAAGAAACCCAGCCAAGAUCUCCAAGAACUUUUCACUUUGUUUAAAAAGUUAUCAUGGAGCAUGGAAGUGUCAUUUGACUAUAGUGAGAAGGAGGAAUUUACAUGCUGAAUUUUCAUGACUGCUUCUUUGUACAAAACUUCAAACAAGUCUGAAGAACAGAUUGCCAUCCAUUGUGGCAUUUUUUCUAAACAGCCUGUGUUCACCAUUCAUCUCUACUUUACUGUGGUAAAUUCACCCAUCUAUUUUUUCACUCGGUGAAAUCACUUGUUUUGACCAUAUCAGUUCUGCACUGGGAUUUAAUGACUACUUUCUUGCAGAACAGCACAUAAUAGAAAAAGUCCUCAAACACUGAUCAACAGUGCUUUCUCUAGUAUUUUUACAACAACAUGGCAUUUGCAAUAAGGAAUGUCAAACUGCUGAGUAGGCAGAUGACAGCAUCUCAGUUAGACAUUAAAGAAAUGUCAGAUUGUUUGGCUUGACCACACAACAGACACUUAGUGAAUUUAAAAGAAAGUGAUUCCAACAUGACAUGCUGAAAAACAGAUCAUCCAUUAUUUAUUCAGUUAGAUUUUUUCACUAGACUAAUUACUUAGUAAAGUGGCAGGAAAUACAGUGGAAGUUUUUAUUUAUAUUGUGUAACUGGAUUCUUCAAGAUAUAUAAAAUUUGUUUUUAUUCAGGUGGCGCAGAGAGUAGCACUGUUUCACAGUGUUUGGGAGGGGAGAAUAUGGUUUUGAUAAAUGGUAAUUUAUCAGAAAAAGAGGUCAUAUCAGUGAUGGUUGUUGCUAAAUAGCACAAAUAACUGCUAAACGUACUGCUUAAGGCAGCACAGUGGUGCAGCGGCUAAAACGGCUGCCUCACAGUGCCUCUACUUUUUGAGCGUAGGUUUGAAUCCAGCUCAGUCUGUGGAGUUUGGGUGUCUACGAUUUCUCCGUGUCUGUGUGGAUUUCCUGUCUGUGCUCUGGUUUCCUCCCACACUCUAAUGACUUGCGGUUUAGGUUGACUAGCAAGUAUAAAUUGCCUGUAGUGUGUGUGUCUGUGGCUCCCCUUUGACGGUGUCCCGUCCAGGGAGUACAGCUUCAGGCUUGGACCUAGUGAUUCCAAGAUAUGCUCCACAUUUCUACAACUCUGAGCAGUACAAGUGGUUAAUGUGAGUCAGUGAGUAUACUGCUUGAGUUAAGGAUUUUAUGAAAUGCCACAUAAUAACAUUUUGACCUAAGUAAAUAAUUCAGACAAAAUAUCAGUGGGCUUACUCUUGUACUUUCUAGAAAAUCACAUCUUUCUCUUUAAAGAGGGUUUCUAAAUUCUUGUUUCUUAAUAUUCUGUGACUUUGUGAUCAACCAGUAAAAGUUCAAUUGGCAAUUGAAAUGAGUGUAGGCAUGUUACAUGAAGCACCGAUUUUCAGAAAACAUCAUCAAAUGUUUGCAAACAUAUGUUUGAAAUGUUUGAAUUGUAGUUGAUUGUUAUUGAUAGUAACGAAUAACAUUUGUGGCUGGUACACUUCCCUGCUGAGAAUUAUUCUCUGUUGUUGCACUAAAAUAAUUAAAAAAAAAAUAAAUAAAUAAAAUAAAUAUAUAUAUAAAUUAAA